This 508-nucleotide ribosomal RNA is filed under the name uncultured bacterium. RNAcentral's name for it is "partial 16S ribosomal RNA". It matches the Rfam family "Bacterial small subunit ribosomal RNA", at positions 30 to 523 of the family's 1533-position model. The record is from RNAcentral.
AUUGAACGCUGGCGGCAUGCCUUACACAUGCAAGUCGAACGGCAGCGGGGGAGAAGCUUGCUUUUCCUGCCGGCGAGUGGUGGACGGGUGAGUAAUACAUCGGAACGUGCCCUGUAGUGGGGGAUAACUAGUCGAAAGAUUAGCUAAUACCGCAUACGACCUGAGGGUGAAAGUGGGGGACCGCAAGGCCUCAUGCUAUAGGAGCGGCCGAUGUCUGAUUAGCUAGUUGGUGGGGUAAAGGCCUACCAAGGCGACGAUCAGUAGCUGGUCUGAGAGGACGAUCAGCCACACUGGGACUGAGACACGGCCCAGACUCCUACGGGAGGCAGCAGUGGGGAAUUUUGGACAAUGGGCGAAAGCCUGAUCCAGCAAUGCCGCGUGUGUGAAGAAGGCCUUCGGGUUGUAAAGCACUUUUGUCCGGAAAGAAAUGGCUCUGGUUAAUACCUGGGGUCGAUGACGGUACCGGAAGAAUAAGGACCGGCUAACUACGUGCCAGCCGCCGCAGUAA